CGCGAAUGGCUCAUUACAACAGCCUUAGUUUAUUGGAUCUUAGAGUCCUACUUGGAUAACUGUGGUAAUUCUAGAGCUAAUACACGCAAUUAAUCCUCAACCUUACGGGCGAGGAGCAUUUAUUAGAACAAAACCAAUCGGCUUCGGCCGUAUCUGGUGAAUCUGAAUAACUACGCUGAUCGCAUGGUCUCGUACCGGCGACAUAUCCUUCAAGUGUCUGCCUUAUCAACUGUCGAUGGUAGUUUACACGCCUACCAUGGUUGUAACGGGUAACGGAGAAUAAGGGUUCGACUCCGGAGAGGGAGCCUGAGAAACGGCUACCACAUCCAAGGAAGGCAGCAGGCGCGCAAAUUACCCACUCUCAGAACGAGGAGGUAGUGACGAAAAAUAACGAGACAGUUCUCUAUGAGGUCUGUCAUCGGAAUGGGUACAAUUUAAACCCUUUAACGAGGAUCUAUUGGAGGGCAAGUCUGGUGCCAGCAGCCGCGGUAAUUCCAGCUCCAAUAGCGUAUAUUAAAGUUGUUGCGGUUGAAAAGCUCGUAGUUGGAUCUGAGACUGUGCACAGGGGUCCCCAAAUGGGUUGCACUUCUGGAGCCGGUCUAAUCUGUUGGUCAAUGUGCGGUGCUCUUUACUGAGUGUCGUAUGUUGCCAGCAAUUUUACUUUGAAAAAAUUAGAGUGCUCAAAGCAGGCGAACGCUCGAAUAUUGGUGCAUGGAAUAAUAGAAUAGGGCCUUGGCUCUAUUUUGUUGGUUUUAGGAGCACGAGGCAAUGAUUAAGAGGAACAGACGGGGGCAUUUGUACUGCGACGUGAGAAGUGAAAUUCUUGGAUCGUCGCAAGACAGACUACUGCGAAAGCAUUUGCCAAGAAUGUUUUCAUUAAUCAAGAACGAAAGUAACGGGUUCGAAGGCGAUCAGAUACCGCCC
Molecule: ribosomal RNA, 924 nt
Filed under: Nematoda environmental sample
Lineage: Eukaryota; Metazoa; Nematoda
Description: bacterial SSU rRNA
Rfam family: Eukaryotic small subunit ribosomal RNA
Source: RNAcentral